This 252-nucleotide ribosomal RNA is filed under the name uncultured bacterium. RNAcentral's name for it is "partial 16S ribosomal RNA". It matches the Rfam family "Bacterial small subunit ribosomal RNA", at positions 524 to 776 of the family's 1533-position model. The record is from RNAcentral.
UACGUAGGGUGCAAGCGUUGUCCGGAAUUAUUGGGCGUAAAGAGCUCGUAGGCGGUCUGUCGCGUCUGCUGUGAAAACUCAGGGCUUAACCCUGAGCUUGCAGUGGGUACGGGCAGACUAGAGUGCGGUAGGGGAGACUGGAAUUCCUGGUGUAGCGGUGAAAUGCGCAGAUAUCAGGAGGAACACCGGUGGCGAAGGCGGGUCUCUGGGCCGUAACUGACGCUGAGGAGCGAAAGCAUGGGAGCGAACAGG